This 450-nucleotide ribosomal RNA is filed under the name uncultured soil bacterium. RNAcentral describes it as "bacterial SSU rRNA". It matches the Rfam family "Bacterial small subunit ribosomal RNA", at positions 26 to 518 of the family's 1533-position model. The record is from RNAcentral.
AGAACGAACGCUGGCGGCAUGCCUAAUACAUGCAAGUCGAACGAACUCUUCGGAGUUAGUGGCGCACGGGUGCGUAACGCGUGGGAAUCUGCCCCUUGGUUCGGAAUAACAGUUGGAAACGACUGCUAAUACCGGAUGAUGACGAAAGUCCAAAGAUUUAUCGCCAAGGGAUGAGCCCGCGUAGGAUUAGCUAGUUGGUGAGGUAAAGGCUCACCAAGGCAACGAUCCUUAGCUGGUCUGAGAGGAUGAUCAGCCACACUGGGACUGAGACACGGCCCAGACUCCUACGGGAGGCAGCAGUAGGGAAUAUUGGACAAUGGGCGAAAGCCUGAUCCAGCAAUGCCGCGUGAGUGAUGAAGGCCGUUAGGUUGUAAAGCUCUUUUACCCGAGAUGAUAAUGACAGUAGUCGGGAGAAGUAAGCCCCGGACUAACUCCGUGCCAGCACGCCGC